CGCAGGCCUCUACCUCAUUUCAUGCUUAAUAAGCAAACCACUCAUUUUUCUUCCAACAAGUAUUUAUUAAACACUGUCUUAGUUGUAAACACCCCCCUCUUGAAGGACCCUGGUGUUCGGGAGCUCCAGGGGGCUGAAGGCAAACCUACCAGUCAGGCGGGCACACUGAGAACCUGCUCUUCCCCCUGCUGCCACCUUGUGACCGGAGCCUGGAACUGCAGGCCCUGUGCCCAGGGAAGUUCAGAGCCAGGUGAGCAGCCAGGAGAGGUCCUAUCGACUGCCCUCCUCUACAGAUGUACAGUGGAGUAAAUGCAGACCCCUCUUCCUUCACUGGGCUCCCAGGUCCCCAGGAGAUGUGGCUGCUGUCUUGCAGGCACACGCCGUUGCACCCAUUGGACCAGAGGAUGGCAGGCCCCUGGUGAUCAAGCCAGUAGUCACGCACCACAGGAUUCUUGGCCUAUAUCCCUGUCUUCCAGUAGGUUAGGCCAAGCCUCGGUGAAAAGGGCACAGCAGGUGACUGCAACCUCAGAUGCUCACCUUUCUCAGGACUUUGGGGCCUACAUGGGGCCUUCAGUCUGGAGCUGAAGCUGACCUUUCCUGUGUUCUCACCCACCUUCUGACAGAUUUG
This 628-nucleotide long non-coding RNA is filed under the name Marmota monax (woodchuck). The record is from RNAcentral. Lineage: Eukaryota; Metazoa; Chordata; Mammalia; Rodentia; Sciuridae.